GAUAUUUACGACUGAGUAGCGAUGCUAAGACCCAGCUCAUAUGCUGAGGUACAUGAACAUGUUUAGUUGGUCAAAGACCUUAUCUUAGCCUGAAAUCAACACAUUGCUGGAGUCCACACUCACAACAAUAGCAUCAACCACAAUAAUAAAGAAGGAGUUGCUUGACCUUAGCAACGAUCGCCCAAACAAGAAACCCCGAGUUGCCCCUCCUCCUGCCCUAUCC
This 223-nucleotide long non-coding RNA is filed under the name Carica papaya (papaya). Its description in RNAcentral is "long non-coding RNA (CPAP_LNC007031)". The record is from RNAcentral. Lineage: Eukaryota; Viridiplantae; Streptophyta; Magnoliopsida; Brassicales; Caricaceae.